UAAUAUAUGUAUAUGAGAUGUUGGAGGCAAUUAAAAAUUAUUCACUGCAUUUAUGAUUAGAGACUUAUCACCAUAUUUGUCUUUCAGCAUAUUCCUUUGGACCUUGAUGUUUCGUUUAUGAUUAGAGACUUAUCACCAUAUUCAUCCUUCAGCAUAUUCCUUUGGACCUUGAUGUUUCGUUUAAAUCAAAUUUGCAGGUUACCAAGACAAUUAGUACGUACUAGGGAUGAGAAUGAGUAACCAUUUAUUUAUGAUGUACUAGGAAAUCAAUGCAAUUGCUCAUUUGCUCUUGCUUAUAUGUGAUGUUGAUCAUUUCUAUUAAAAAAAAAAAGUGAUGUUGAAAGUAAUUACAUGUAAAAGUAACUUAUAACAACUAUCUCUCUCAUACUUGG
RNAcentral lists this long non-coding RNA (392 nucleotides) under Fragaria vesca (wild strawberry). Its description in RNAcentral is "long non-coding RNA (FVES_LNC000009)". The record is from RNAcentral. Lineage: Eukaryota; Viridiplantae; Streptophyta; Magnoliopsida; Rosales; Rosaceae.